GAUGAACGCUGGCGGCGUGCCUAAUACAUGCAAGUCGAGCGAACGGACGAGAAGCUUGCUUCUCUGAUGUUAGCGGCGGACGGGUGAGUAACACGUGGAUAACCUACCUAUAAGACUGGGAUAACUUCGGGAAACCGGAGCUAAUACCGGACAAUAUUUUGAACCGCAUGGUUCAAAAGUAAAAGACGGUCUUGCUGUCACUUAUAGAUGGAUCCGCGCUGCAUUAGCUAGUUGGUAAGGUAGCGGCUUACCAAGGCAACGAUGCAUAGCCGACCUGAGAGGGUGAUCGGCCACACUGGAACUGAGACACGGUCCAGACUCCUACGGGAGGCAGCAGUAGGGAAUCUUCCGCAAUGGGCGAAAGCCUGACGGAGCAACGCCGCGUGAGUGAUGAAGGUCUUCGGAUCGUAAAACUCUGUUAUUAGGGAAGAACAUAUGUGUAAGUAACUGUGCACAUCUUGACGGUACCUAAUCAGAAAGCCACGGCUAACUACGUG
Molecule: ribosomal RNA, 497 nt
Filed under: uncultured bacterium
Lineage: Bacteria
Description: partial 16S ribosomal RNA
Rfam family: Bacterial small subunit ribosomal RNA
Source: RNAcentral